RNAcentral lists this ribosomal RNA (400 nucleotides) under uncultured bacterium. RNAcentral describes it as "bacterial SSU rRNA". It matches the Rfam family "Bacterial small subunit ribosomal RNA", at positions 359 to 776 of the family's 1533-position model. The record is from RNAcentral.
GAAUAUUGGACAAUGGGGGAAACCCUGAUCCAGCAAUGCCGCGUGAGUGAUGAAGGCCUUAGGGUUGUAAAGCUCUUUCGCCAGGGAUGAUAAUGACAGUACCUGGUAAAGAAACCCCGGCUAACUCCGUGCCAGCAGCCGCGGUAAUACGGAGGGGGUUAGCGUUGUUCGGAAUUACUGGGCGUAAAGCGCGCGUAGGCGGAUCAGAAAGUUGGGGGUGAAAUCCCAGGGCUCAACCCUGGAACGGCCUCCAAAACUCCUGGUCUUGAGUUCGAGAGAGGUGAGUGGAAUUCCGAGUGUAGAGGUGAAAUUCGUAGAUAUUCGGAGGAACACCAGUGGCGAAGGCGGCUCACUGGCUCGAUACUGACGCUGAGGUGCGAAAGUGUGGGGAGCAAACAGG